Non-coding RNA from Xylaria intraflava, 137 nucleotides. Lineage: Eukaryota; Fungi; Ascomycota; Sordariomycetes; Xylariales; Xylariaceae. The record is from the annotation of a GenBank genome assembly.
GCCCGGUUAGCUCAAUCGGUAGAGCGUGAGACUCUUAAUCUCAAGGUUGCGGGUGAGUGCCAAAUUCGAAAAAAAAUAUUAUCCAAGCCUCGUCAUACUAAACUUCUCCGUCACAGGUUCGACCCCCGCAUCGGGCU